RNAcentral lists this ribosomal RNA (465 nucleotides) under uncultured bacterium. Its description in RNAcentral is "partial 16S ribosomal RNA". It matches the Rfam family "Bacterial small subunit ribosomal RNA", at positions 339 to 795 of the family's 1533-position model. The record is from RNAcentral.
CUACGGGUCGCUGCAGUGAGGAAUUUUGCGCAAUGGGGGAAACCCUGACGCAGCAACGCCGCGUGAGUGAUGAAGGCCUUCGGGUCGUAAAGCUCUGUCAAGUGGGAAGAACCUACCUAUGGGUAAUAUUCAUGGGUACUGACGGUACCACUGAAGGAAGCACCGGCUAACUCCGUGCCAGCAGCCGCGGUAAUACGGGGGGUGCAAGCGUUAUUCGGAAUUAUUGGGCGUAAAGGGCGCGUAGGCGGUCUUGUUAGUCAGAUGUGAAAGCCCGGGGCUCAACCCCGGAAGUGCAUUUGAUACUGCAAGACUUGAGUAUGGGAGAGGGAAGUGGAAUUCCUGGUGUAGAGGUGAUAUUCGUAGAUAUCAGGAGGAACAUCUGUGGCGAAGGCGACUUCCUGGACCAAUACUGACGCUGAGGCGCGAAGGCGUGGGUAGCAAACAGGAUUAGAUACCCUCGUAGUC